GCUAAGCCUUUAACAUUGAUAGUACACUGUACCCCACUAUCCGCCAGAGAACUACAAGUGAAAAACUUUAAACUCAAAGGACUUGGCGGUGUCCCAUACCGACCUAGAGGAGCCUGUCCUAUAAUCGAUACCCCUCGUUCCACCCAACCUCUACUGGCAACCACAGCCUAUAUACCGCCGUCGACAGUCUACCCCAUGAGGGUCCAACAGUAGACAUAAUAGCCCACCCACUAAUACGUCAGGUCAAGGUGUAGCACAUGUUGAGGAAGAGAUUGGCUACAUUUUUUAUUAUAAAAAACACGAAAUGCAACAUGAAACCCUGCAUGAAGGUGAAUUUAGUAGUAAGAUCAAACAAGAGUGUUUAUCUUAACAUCGCUGUG
Molecule: ribosomal RNA, 380 nt
Filed under: Eremias brenchleyi
Lineage: Eukaryota; Metazoa; Chordata; Lepidosauria; Squamata; Lacertidae
Description: partial 12S ribosomal RNA
Rfam family: Bacterial small subunit ribosomal RNA
Source: RNAcentral